Molecule: ribosomal RNA, 605 nt
Filed under: uncultured bacterium
Lineage: Bacteria
Description: bacterial SSU rRNA
Rfam family: Bacterial small subunit ribosomal RNA
Source: RNAcentral
CCAGACUCUACGGGAGGCAGCAGUAGGGAAUCUUCGGCAAUGGACGGAAGUCUGACCGAGCAACGCCGCGUGAGUGAAGAAGGUUUCGGAUCGUAAAGCUCUGUUGUAAGAGAAGAACGAGUGUGAGAGUGGAAAGUUCACACUGUGACGGUAUCUUACCAGAAAGGGACGGCUAACUACGUGCCAGCAGCCGCGGUAAUACGUAGGUCCCGAGCGUUGUCCGGAUUUAUUGGGCGUAAAGCGAGCGCAGGCGGUUAGAUAAGUCUGAAGUUAAAGGCUGUGGCUUAACCAUAGUACGCUUUGGAAACUGUUUAACUUGAGUGCAAGAGGGGAGAGUGGAAUUCCAUGUGUAGCGGUGAAAUGCGUAGAUAUAUGGAGGAACACCGGUGGCGAAAGCGGCUCUCUGGCUUGUAACUGACGCUGAGGCUCGAAAGCGUGGGGAGCAAACAGGAUUAGAUACCCUGGUAGUCCACGCCGUAAACGAUGAGUGCUAGGUGUUAGACCCUUUCCGGGGUUUAGUGCCGUAGCUAACGCAUUAAGCACUCCGCCUGGGGAGUACGACCGCAAGGUUGAAACUCAAAGGAAUUGACGGGGGCCCGCACAAG